Molecule: transfer RNA, 74 nt
Filed under: Verrucomicrobiota bacterium
Lineage: Bacteria; Pseudomonadati; Verrucomicrobiota
Description: Verrucomicrobia bacterium (freshwater metagenome) tRNA-Arg
Rfam family: tRNA
About the family: Transfer RNA (tRNA) molecules are approximately 80 nucleotides in length.
Source: RNAcentral
GCGCUGUUAGCUCAAUUGGAUAGAGCAUCUGACUUCGGAUCAGAAGGUUAGAGGUUCGAGUCCUCUACGGCGCA